Molecule: long non-coding RNA, 858 nt
Filed under: Brachypodium distachyon (stiff brome)
Lineage: Eukaryota; Viridiplantae; Streptophyta; Magnoliopsida; Poales; Poaceae
Description: long non-coding RNA (BDIS_LNC004900)
Source: RNAcentral
GGACGAACGGAGGCGGCGGGAACCACGGCAGGGUUGGUCGAACGAGACUACUCUGUCGAGAUAUGUGUCCGGCCGCCGGAGUUUUCACGAAGAUCUGUGUAAAAGGAUGGCGAGGUGGUGUCGGGUCUCUUCCGCCGGACAAAAUCGAAUCGCAGAUGGCGGCCGGCGCAUGAUUUUUCUUUUGGAAACCGCCAACCGAGAAUGUAUCGCGUGCGCGAUUCGUGGCGUUGAUCCUGCCGUUUCUGUUUUUGUUUUCAUUUCCUUUUCUUUUCUUUUUUCCUAUUUACAUUCGCGGGCGGGUUACCUCGACGCCGUAGACGAAUACGUACGCGACUACGGGGUUAUACAGGGCUUGGAUAUGGGCUUACAGCGGGCUAUACCUACAGGGGCUGACUUAAGUCGCGGGGCCCUGGAAACCCGAUGACUUACGCUGGGGGGGGUCGUAUUGAAUUACGCCUCUUUAUAAGAUGGAAACUGAUGCAAAUGAUCAAUGCACCACCAGCCUUCAAACAUACAUAAUCGAUAAUCUCACUAGCUACCCCUGUACAUGGAUAUAUAUACACCACACCAAUACACCAUGUCACUUGACUCGAUAAAAUAAGCUGGUUUAUCCACACUAGCCAUUUUGAAGUCACACAUCUAUUUGUUUUGAACAUUUUACUAUGUUAAAAAGGUGGCAACGGGGGUGUUAUAUAGAUCAUCCUAAUUAUCACUACUACAAUGAUGUCGACUACAAGUAUGUAUGAAGAUUUUUUUUACGGAUAAGUAUGUAUGAAUAGGAGACACUGGGAAAGGAUCAAAUGCUGGUCAUGCAAGGACAAGUGAGCUAUGCAAAAAAUGGAUUGACCAGCCUAUUGG